GCAGUAGUAGCUCAAUGCUAGAGCACCGGUCUUGUAAUCCGGGUGCGGAGGCUCAAAUCCUCCCUACCGCU
Molecule: transfer RNA, 71 nt
Filed under: Cyclopsetta fimbriata (spotfin flounder)
Lineage: Eukaryota; Metazoa; Chordata; Actinopteri; Pleuronectiformes; Cyclopsettidae
Description: tRNA-Thr
Rfam family: tRNA
About the family: Transfer RNA (tRNA) molecules are approximately 80 nucleotides in length.
Source: RNAcentral